Molecule: ribosomal RNA, 484 nt
Filed under: uncultured bacterium
Lineage: Bacteria
Description: partial 16S ribosomal RNA
Rfam family: Bacterial small subunit ribosomal RNA
Source: RNAcentral
AAUGAACGCUGGCGGCAGGCCUAACACAUGCAAGUCGAGCGGAUGAAGGCAGCUUGCUCCUGGAUUCAGCGUCGGACGGGUGAGUAAUGCCUAGGAAUCUGCCUGGUUGUGGGGGAUAACGUCCGGAAACGGGCGCUAAUACUGCAUACGUCCUGAGGGAGAAAGUUGGGGAUCUUCGGACCUCACGCUCUCAGAUGAGCCUAGGUCGGAGUAGCUAGUUGGUGGGGUAAAGGCCUACCUAGGCGACGAUCCGUAACUGGUCUGAGAGGAUGAUCACUCACACUGGAGGUGAGACACGAUCCAGGCUACUACGAGAGGGACCAGUGGGGAAUAUUGGACAACGGGCGGAAAUCUGAUCCAGACAUGGCGAGUGUGUGGAGAAGGUCUUCGGAUUGUGGAGAAGUUUUAGUUGGGAGAAAGGGCAGUAAGUUGAGACCUAGCUGGUUUGACGUUACCGGCAGAAUAAGCACCGGCUAACUCCGUG